This is a long non-coding RNA of Balaenoptera musculus (blue whale), 407 nucleotides long. RefSeq lists it as uncharacterized. NCBI's taxonomy places the organism in Eukaryota, Metazoa, Chordata, Mammalia, Artiodactyla, Balaenopteridae. The transcript has 3 exons. The record is from RefSeq and is a predicted model, not a curated record.
GACGUGAGCCUGAGUCACACUGGCAGCUGGGCAGUUCUGUCCUGCUUUUCAUCCAAAAGGACAGAGGGAACGGCCACAAGAAUGAGCGAGUGAGCCAGGGGCCGAUGUUGUAACUGGACAAACAGCUCAAAGCUGGGUUUCCAAGCGUGGCAGGUGGCUCAUUAUGCGUGACAGAGGCAAGAGAGCAGGCUAAUCAGGCCUAGAUCCCACAGCUGCGGAGGUUCAAGCCCUGUGCAGGCCACCAACCACUCCGUGAGGCUCGGGCUCUUUGGGUUCAAAGUUACCGAGGACCCCUGGGCGGAGCACAGGAUCACGACUCUAAGUCCACUUCUACUCCUUCAACAUGAGGCCAGGGCACCACGGGUUUGAAUCUGUCAUCCCCAGGAGCUAGUCCAUUGCCCCCUCGG